This 397-nucleotide ribosomal RNA is filed under the name uncultured bacterium. RNAcentral's name for it is "partial 16S ribosomal RNA". It matches the Rfam family "Bacterial small subunit ribosomal RNA", at positions 523 to 918 of the family's 1533-position model. The record is from RNAcentral.
AUACGUAGGGGGCGAGCGUUGUCCGGAAUGAUUGGGCGUAAAGGGCGCGUAGGCGGCCGCUUAAGUCUGGAGUGAAAGUCCUGUUUUCAAGAUGGGAAUUGCUUUGGAUACUGGGGGGCUUGAGUGCAGGAGAGGUUAUCGGAAUUCCCGGUGUAGCGGUGAAAUGCGUAGAGAUCGGGAGGAACACCAGUGGCGAAGGCGGGCAACUGGACUGCAACUGACGCUGAGGCGCGAAAGUGUGGGGAGCAAACAGGAUUAGAUACCCUGGUAGUCCACACUGUAAACGAUGAAUGCUAGGUGUAAGAGGUAUCGACCCCUUUUGUGCCGGAGUCAACACAAUAAGCAUUCCGCCUGGGGAGUACGGCCGCAAGGUUGAAACUCAAAUGAAUUGACGGGG